UACCUCCCGUGUGUCGUCGUCGGCGACGUCUACGAGAGGUUCGAUUCUGGCUCAGGACGAACGCUGGCGGCGUGCCUAACACAUGCAAGUCGAACGGAGUUAAUGAUUCGGUUGUUAACUUAGUGGCGAACGGGUGAGUAACGCGUGAACAACCUGACCCAAAGAGGGGGAUAACAUUUGGAAACAGAUGCUAAUACCGCAUAAGACCACAACGUCACAUGGCGAAGGGGUCAAAGGAGCAAUCCGCUUUGGGAGGGGUUCGCGUCCCAUUAGGUAGAUGGCGGGGUAACGGCCCACCAUGCCAACGAUGGGUAGCCGAGCUGAGAGGCUGAUCGGCCACACUGGAACUGAGACACGGUCCAGACUCCUACGGGAGGCAGCAGUGGGGAAUAUUGGGCAAUGGGCGCCAAGCCCGACCCAGCAACGCCGCGUGAGGGAAGAAGGUUUUCGGAUUGUAAACCUCUGUCGCAGAAGACGAAGGAAGUGACGGUAUUCUGUGAGGAAGCCCCGGCUAACUACGUGCCAGCCGCCGC
This 533-nucleotide ribosomal RNA is filed under the name uncultured bacterium. RNAcentral describes it as "bacterial SSU rRNA". It matches the Rfam family "Bacterial small subunit ribosomal RNA", at positions 1 to 518 of the family's 1533-position model. The record is from RNAcentral.